GGAUGCGUAGCUCAGCCGGUAGAGCAUCGGACUUUUAAUCUGGUGGUCGUAGGUUCAAGUCCUACCGCACCCA
Molecule: transfer RNA, 73 nt
Filed under: Mesostigma viride
Lineage: Eukaryota; Viridiplantae; Streptophyta; Mesostigmatophyceae; Mesostigmatales; Mesostigmataceae
Description: tRNA-Lys
Rfam family: tRNA
About the family: Transfer RNA (tRNA) molecules are approximately 80 nucleotides in length. Their secondary structure includes four short double-helical elements and three loops (D, anti-codon, and T loops).
Source: RNAcentral